GGGGCAUUAGCUCAGUUGGCUAGAGCGUUUGACUGGCAGUCAAGAGGUCAGGGGUUCGACUCCCCUAUGCUCCACCA
This 77-nucleotide transfer RNA is filed under the name Bacteroidales bacterium. RNAcentral describes it as "tRNA-Ala". It matches the Rfam family "tRNA". From Rfam's summary of the family: Transfer RNA (tRNA) molecules are approximately 80 nucleotides in length. Their secondary structure includes four short double-helical elements and three loops (D, anti-codon, and T loops). Further hydrogen bonds mediate the characteristic L-shaped molecular structure. tRNAs have two regions of fundamental functional importance: the anti-codon, which is responsible for specific mRNA codon recognition, and the 3' end, to which the tRNAs corresponding amino acid is attached (by aminoacyl-tRNA synthetases). tRNAs cope with the degeneracy of the genetic code in two manners: having more than one tRNA (with a specific anti-codon) for a particular amino acid; and 'wobble' base-pairing, i.e. permitting non-standard base-pairing at the 3rd anti-codon position. The record is from RNAcentral. Lineage: Bacteria; Pseudomonadati; Bacteroidota; Bacteroidia; Bacteroidales.